UUCUGGGUUAAGAUAAUGUCGAA
Molecule: small nuclear RNA, 23 nt
Filed under: Arabidopsis thaliana (thale cress)
Lineage: Eukaryota; Viridiplantae; Streptophyta; Magnoliopsida; Brassicales; Brassicaceae
Description: snRNA_08343
Source: RNAcentral